This 478-nucleotide ribosomal RNA is filed under the name uncultured Anaplasma sp. RNAcentral's name for it is "bacterial SSU rRNA". It matches the Rfam family "Bacterial small subunit ribosomal RNA", at positions 158 to 670 of the family's 1533-position model. Lineage: Bacteria; Pseudomonadati; Pseudomonadota; Alphaproteobacteria; Rickettsiales; Anaplasmataceae. The record is from RNAcentral.
GGGGGGUAAUACUGUAUAAUCCCUGCGGAGGAAAGAUUAAUCGCUAUUAGAUGAGCCUAUGUUAGAUUAGCUAGUUGGUAGGGUAAAGGCCUACCAAGGCAGUGAUCUAUAGCUGGUCUGAGAGGAUGAUCAGCCACACUGGAACUGAGAUACGGUCCAGACUCCUACGGGAGGCAGCAGUGGGGAAUAUUGGACAAUGGGCGCAAGCCUGAUCCAGCUAUGCCGCGUGAGUGAGGAAGGCCUUAGGGUUGUAAAACUCUUUCAGUGGGGAAGAUAAUGACGGUACCCACAGAAGAAGUCCCGGCAAACUCCGUGCCAGCAGCCGCGGUAAUACGGAGGGGGCAAGCGUUGUUCGGAAUUAUUGGGCGUAAAGGGCAUGUAGGCGGUUCGGUAAGUUAAAGGUGAAAUGCCAGGGCUUAACCCUGGAGCUGCUUUUAAUACUGCCAGACUCGAGUCCGGGAGAGGAUAGCGGAAUUCC